Molecule: ribosomal RNA, 470 nt
Filed under: uncultured bacterium
Lineage: Bacteria
Description: partial 16S ribosomal RNA
Rfam family: Bacterial small subunit ribosomal RNA
Source: RNAcentral
GACGAACGCUGGCGGCGUGCUUAACACAUGCAAGUCGAACGGUGAACGAGGGAGCUUGCUCCCUCCGGAUCAGUGGCGAACGGGUGAGUAACACGUGAGCAAUCUGCCCCGAACUCUGGGAUAAGCGUUGGAAACGACGUCUAAUACCGGAUACGACGCGGGAGGGCAUCCUCUCCGCGUGGAAAGAACUUCGGUUCGGGAUGAGCUCGCGGCCUAUCCGCUUGUUGGUGAGGUAACGGCUCACCAAGGCGACGACGGGUAGCCGGCCUGAGAGGGUGACCGGCCACACUGGGACUGAGACACGGCCCAGACUCCUACGGGAGGCAGCAGUGGGGAAUAUUGCACAAUGGGCGCAAGCCUGAUGCAGCAACGCCGCGUGAGGGACGACGGCCUUCGGGUUGUAAACCUCUUUUAGCAGGGAAGAAGCGAAAGUGACGGUACCUGCAGAAAAAGCACCGGCUAACUACGUG